GGAACCAUGAUUAGUUAUAAAAAUAGACCUUAUUUGGAAAAUAUUUAAAAACAACACAGUAAUACUGUAGAUUAUUUAGUUUUUAUAAAUUUUAAGAAAAUAUUUUCACAGAAAUGUCACCAUGUUGUUCACGCUGCAAUGCAUUCUGUGUAAAUGACUUGUAAUGGUCCAACUGCCUGGCUCCUUCAGCCAAAACAGUGAUAAGUAACGUAAUUAAGCCUUUUUAAUUUGAACCAGAGCGCACUGACAUAGAUCAGAAAGUAGAAAUAACAAGAGGUGAUGAUGAUGGGGAAGACCAAACAGAGGAAGAGGACAGAGUUGGCCGUAGGAGCUGCUGUUGCUGCCUUCAGCUUAAUAAAUAAAACAAUGAAUGACACAUAACUCUGGUCGGACUGUAUGAUCUGGUAAGUACUUCUGUAGUUCUGUGUCCAGUUAGGCAACAACUGCUUAGGGUCCAAACUUUGUUCGGUGUUGGUAGUGGUUUCACAAUACCGGUGUUCUAGCUCCAUUAGCAUUUCCAGUAGUGAUAACUCCAUUAGCGCUGCUUGUCUUUGACGUUUCUCCCAGGAUCUGUAGCGCUGUGUCCAGUUCGGCAACAUCUGUGCUGUUUAGAGUCCGGUGUGAUGGUAACAGCAACACCGGACUUUAUUACCACUGACACCAGACCUCCAUGGGUCCGGUCGGAUCGGUGGUUUCAGUACCGCAGGUGGUAUAGCUCCUGUUAGCAUCUCAAAGAGUGUCCAGCUCUGCCUACCUAGCACAGCAGCACUGCAUUUAUUUUUAACUCGUUAAGGUAACUGUCAGAGCCUUCGUUAGUUCUGUUGGUAUAAAUGACUCAAAGUGUUUUGGAGAAAUGUCCAGGGGACAGAUUAGGUCCUUCAUUGUGUUCCACUCUGGCUCUCACACUGCGCUCUCCUUUCUUUCAUGUGGGAAAUUAUAAAGACUCACCUCAAUUUUUAUUAUUAUUUUUUUAAUCAUAGCCGAUAGUGACACAAUGUUGAAUUAUCUAAUAUUACACCAGUUUGACUGGUGUGAUAUCAUAUUGCGAUAUCAACGCAAUAUGAUAAACAUUAACUCAGGAAAAGUUAGCCUUCCAGUGUUUCCUCUGUAGACUGCAGUACAGAAUGGACCAAAACGUGUCAUCAACCCAUUGGAGAAAAAAUGGCGACCUCCACGGGUGAAAACCAUAACAAAAGAUGUAAAUUUUUGAAGUAAUUCUGAGUUUUGGCGCAUCACAAACAGCAAUUUUUUAGGUAGUAGGAAAAUUGCAACAUAUUUAGGCCAAGAUGAUGAACCAACAUUACUGAAUGGUUUGGAAAUCUCACUGUUAAAUUAAAAGUCCAAAUUCAAAGUUUGGUGAAGAUGGCAAGUUAGAUCAUUCCUCUACACAAAAUCUGUUUGGGCAGGCUACCAUCAGGCAAGCUCAGAACAUCUUGUCGGACAGGUGACGUGCUCACAUCAGAAUAUAUUCUCGUGAAUCAGGGAGAAGGUUCAGGUUUCCUUUGCGUAAAUAACCGUCUGAAACAUUCAUUUGUACCACUCUUCAUUAGCCUGAUAAAUGGCUGACUAGCAGGGCCUGUACAGAGGCAAUGCUCACCGAAAAAGCUGUCGCAAAAAAAACAAAAACUGUUUUAAUAAUUUUUGUUUCACUGUAACAUUUGUGAAUAUCAAAUUUUGCUCUGUUUUUAUCAAGUAAUAAAACACAUUUGAACAGCCAAGCAGUGACUUUGUCAAGCAAAAAUACAUAUAUUGUACAUUUAAAUACUUUUGCAUAACCUGCACACUCAAACCCUUACGCUCACUUUAACUGAGUCCACACUUGAUAGAGGACUGUAUAAUACGCAGUGCGAGUAUUGGGCCAAAGAUCUGCAUCUCUAAUGUUUACAUGUUCUAAUGAGAAACAUCAAUUAUAUCAGCUCAAGAUAAAAGGUAAGCAUGUCUCUGAAAACAGUGGUGGUCAAGAAACAUCAUUUAAGAAAACAGAAAAAGGAUUAAAUUGAAAAAAAAGAAAAAAAUCAACCUCUUUUUGUAGUCCUGUCAGUUGAGCACUUAAGCUCUCGAUCCUCAGGGCAGAUUCUCUGAGCUCCUCUCGGGCCAUGAUAGCCGACGCUCCAUUCAUCUCUGACAGAUGAUGCAAGUCGUCAAGCUGAAGAAAGAAAUACAAUUGGAGAGCUGAAACAGUCAAAUGUCAACUUCUCAACCUGAAAGAGGAACUAAGACAUUCUUAUCAGGAAGUCUUAGUGGCUUAUCAGCCACUUCCUGAUAAGCAGGAAGUUUGUGCAUUUGGUUUGUUGUUGUAAAGAAACUUUCAGUUUUACUUCAUAUAAAUCUGUAUAGAAAUGCAUGAGGUGUAUAGAAAUGCAUGAGGUGAGGAGGAAUUAAACUGUUUUUUUCUGCAUACUUUAAAAAGCCUACCAAAAGUAAGUAUUAGCAAAUAGUUUUUAUCUACACUGUUCAUCCCCGAAGCAGUUAAGACUUUACUAUUAAAAACAAGUCCUUAUUCCGUCAUCAAAUCUUAAAGUGAACUUAUCAGCUCUAAUCAUGGAAAUAAUUGAAUGAAUAAAACAAUGCUCCGCUGAUUAUUUCAGGGUAGUGUUGUAUAAAUGAUCUUUUUCCAUCAUGAUUCCGGAAAGAACCAUGAUAACUUGCGGUUUGGCGCACCAGGGUGGUCCAUCAGCAGCCCACCUCAAAAAUGUUAAGGAGACCUGAGAGAAAGCUGAAAUCAGAAAAGUAGAAAAAAGCUAAUGCAAGAAAGAGCAGAAUAAGUGCACAAGAGACUAUUUGUUUUGUUUGCCAGGGGACAAG
Xiphophorus couchianus (Monterrey platyfish) is the source of this 2805-nucleotide long non-coding RNA. RefSeq lists it as uncharacterized. The record is from RefSeq and is a predicted model, not a curated record. NCBI's taxonomy places the organism in Eukaryota, Metazoa, Chordata, Actinopteri, Cyprinodontiformes, Poeciliidae. The transcript has 2 exons.